RNAcentral lists this ribosomal RNA (443 nucleotides) under uncultured bacterium. RNAcentral describes it as "bacterial SSU rRNA". It matches the Rfam family "Bacterial small subunit ribosomal RNA", at positions 958 to 1398 of the family's 1533-position model. The record is from RNAcentral.
AACGCGAAGAACCUUACCUGGCCUUGACAUCCUAGGAAUCCUGCAGAGAUGCGGGAGUGCCGUAAGGAACCUAGAGACAGGUGCUGCAUGGCUGUCGUCAGCUCGUGUCGUGAGAUGUUGGGUUAAGUCCCGCAACGAGCGCAACCCUUGUCCUUAGUUGCCACCCCUUAACUGGGAGCACUCUGGACAGACUGCCUCGCUUCAACGAGGAGGAAGGUGGGGAUGACGUCAAGUCAGUAUGGCCCUUACGGCCAGGGCUGCACACGUACUACAAUGCCCGGUACAAAGGGAAGCAAGAGCGUAAGCUGGAGCAAAUCCCCCAAAACCGGGCCCAGUUCAGAUUGUUGUCUGCAACUCGACAGCAUGAAGCUGGAAUCGCUAGUAAUGGCGCAUCAGCUACGGCGCCGUGAAUACGUUCCCGGGCCUUGUACACACCGAGUAUA